Molecule: ribosomal RNA, 397 nt
Filed under: uncultured bacterium
Lineage: Bacteria
Description: partial 16S ribosomal RNA
Rfam family: Bacterial small subunit ribosomal RNA
Source: RNAcentral
AUACGUAGGGGGCAAGCGUUAUCCGGAUUUACUGGGUGUAAAGGGAGCGUAGACGGUUUGGCAAGUCUGAUGUGAAAGCCCGGGGCUCAACCGCGGGACUGCAUUGGAAACUGUCAGACUUGAGUGCAGGAGAGGUAAGUGGAAUUCCUAGUGUAGCGGUGAAAUGCGUAGAUAUUAGGAGGAACACCGGUGGCGAAGGCGGCUUACUGGACUGUAACUGACGUUGAGGCUCGAAAGCGUGGGGAGCAAACAGGAUUAGAUGCCCUGGUAGUCCACGCCGUAAACGAUGAAUACUAGGUGUUGGGAGACAAUAGUUUCUCGGUGCCGCAGCAAACGCAAUAAGUAUUCCACCUGGGGAGUACGUUCGCAAGAAUGAAACUCAAAUGAAUUGACGGGG